CUGCCUUUUAGUAAAAUCAAUCAAUUUAAUUAAAUUAAAUAAAACCAGCAUAAUUACCAGUUAUGAGUAGCGGAGGCCUGGUAUUUCACAGGUUAACUCCACUAAGAUCCCAGUGAGGCUCAGGAACAAGUGAUGAAAAAUCCCAUAAAGUAAUAAUUCCAGCAAGCAAGGUUAUCCAAGAAUAUCCCCAUACAGAUCCCAAUGACUGGACGAUACACAGCAUCAGGAGCAGAACUGACGUUUAUUCCACACAACCUCCUUUUAAGCAUUUCUCCCAUGCAAGGGAGGGAUUCACAUUCAUUAAGACAGUACCCAAUGGAAUAGCAGUUACCUCCCACACAUCUCCUUCCCUUAGUAUGACACCAUUAUACAUGUUAUAGUUUUACCCUAGAUCUGGAUGUACCCCAAGAUUAGCA
RNAcentral lists this long non-coding RNA (416 nucleotides) under Pelobates cultripes (western spadefoot toad). Lineage: Eukaryota; Metazoa; Chordata; Amphibia; Anura; Pelobatidae. The record is from RNAcentral.